UGGGGAAUAUUGCACAAUGGGCGCAAGCCUGAUGCAGCAACGCCGCGUGAGGGACGACGGCCUUCGGGUUGUAAACCUCUUUUAGCAGGGAAGAAGCGAAAGUGACGGUACCUGCAGAAAAAGCACCGGCUAACUACGUGCCAGCAGCCGCGGUAAUACGUAGGGUGCGAGCGUUAAUCGGAAUUACUGGGCGUAAAGCGUGCGCAGGCGGUUUUGUAAGACAGAUGUGAAAUCCCCGGGCUUAACCUGGGAACUGCGUUUGUGACUGCAAGGCUGGAGUACGGCAGAGGGGGGUGGAAUUCCACGUGUAGCAGUGAAAUGCGUAGAGAUGUGGAGGUACACCGAUGGCGAAGGCAGCCCCCUGGGCCUGUACUGACGCUCAUGCACGAAAGCGUGGGGAGCAAACA
This 407-nucleotide ribosomal RNA is filed under the name uncultured bacterium. RNAcentral describes it as "bacterial SSU rRNA". It matches the Rfam family "Bacterial small subunit ribosomal RNA", at positions 355 to 774 of the family's 1533-position model. The record is from RNAcentral.